RNAcentral lists this ribosomal RNA (309 nucleotides) under uncultured bacterium. RNAcentral's name for it is "bacterial SSU rRNA". It matches the Rfam family "Bacterial small subunit ribosomal RNA", at positions 28 to 334 of the family's 1533-position model. The record is from RNAcentral.
GAUGAACGCUAGCGGCAGGCCUAAUACAUGCAAGCUGAACGGUAACACUUGUAGCAAUACGAGUGCAAGAGUAGCGUAAGGGUGCGUAACACGUAUGCAAUCUGCCCGUAACCGGAGGAUAGCUCCCCGAAAGGGGAAUUAAUACUCCAUAAGAUCACACGAGGGCAUCUGAGGGUGAUUAAAGCUGAGGUGGUUACGGAUGAGCAUGCGCAUGAUUAGUUAGUUGGCGGGGUAACGGCCCACCAAGACAAUGAUCAUUAGGGGAACUGAGAGGUUGGUCCCCCACACUGGCACUGAGAUACGGGCCAG